Molecule: transfer RNA, 73 nt
Filed under: Camelus bactrianus (Bactrian camel)
Lineage: Eukaryota; Metazoa; Chordata; Mammalia; Artiodactyla; Camelidae
Also listed under: 3 other names
Rfam family: tRNA
About the family: Transfer RNA (tRNA) molecules are approximately 80 nucleotides in length. Their secondary structure includes four short double-helical elements and three loops (D, anti-codon, and T loops).
Source: Rfam by way of RNAcentral
GAGGGUAUAGCUCAAGUGGUAGAGUGCAUGCUUAGCAUGCAUGAGGUCGUGGGUUCAAUCCCCAGAACCUCCU